GAAAGAUGAUCAGGUAGAUAGGUUUGGAGUGGAAGUGUAGCGAUACAUGGAGCGGACAAAUACUAAUCGAUCGAGGACUUAACCAAAA
Molecule: ribosomal RNA, 88 nt
Filed under: Listeria monocytogenes
Lineage: Bacteria; Bacillati; Bacillota; Bacilli; Caryophanales; Listeriaceae
Description: partial 23S ribosomal RNA
Rfam family: Bacterial large subunit ribosomal RNA
Source: RNAcentral